GAAACAGAAACAGCUUUUAAACUAUUUAGGAGACUUGGUUUUUGACUUGGUCAAACUUGAAUAAUGAACAUCCUUCUUAUUAAGAUGCUGCUUCCUCAUUGUUUUAUGUUGAAACACAAGUGUAAUUUCCUGUCCCUUCACAGUGUUGGUUUCUCAUCUCCGUGCAAGCAGAUUUAUCUGGCUCCUCGGUCGACAAAAUCAUCUCCUCAAGAAACAUGGAGCUUGGUAUCAUAUGUGAAAUGUCACUGUGCAAUGGAUGAAUAG
This 264-nucleotide long non-coding RNA is filed under the name Felis catus (domestic cat). RNAcentral's name for it is "lncRNA (ENSFCAG00000051597.1)". The record is from RNAcentral. Lineage: Eukaryota; Metazoa; Chordata; Mammalia; Carnivora; Felidae.